This 2278-nucleotide ribosomal RNA is filed under the name Uliginosibacterium sp. RNAcentral describes it as "partial 23S ribosomal RNA". It matches the Rfam family "Bacterial large subunit ribosomal RNA", at positions 1 to 2338 of the family's 2925-position model. Lineage: Bacteria; Pseudomonadati; Pseudomonadota; Betaproteobacteria; Rhodocyclales; Zoogloeaceae. The record is from RNAcentral.
GAUCAAGCGACUAAGUGCACGUGGUGGAUGCCUUGGCGAUCACAGGCGAUGAAGGACGUGCAAGCCUGCGAAAAGCUACGGGGAGCUGGCAAUGGAGCUUUGAUCCGUAGAUAUCCGAAUGGGGAAACCCACUCCGCAAGGAGUAUCCCGCACUGAAUACAUAGGUGCGCGGAGGCGAACCGGGAGAACUGAAACAUCUAAGUACCCCGAGGAAAGAAAUCAACCGAGAUUCCCUGAGUAGUGGCGAGCGAACGGGAAGAGCCUGUACGUGAUAAUUGCAUGUGUUAAUAGAACGGUCUGGAAAGUCCGGCCAUAGCGGGUGAUAGCCCCGUAUAUGAAAACCCAUGGAUGGUACUGAGCGUACGACAAGUAGGGCGGGGCACGAGAAACCCUGUCUGAACAUGGGGGGACCAUCCUCCAAGGCUAAAUACUCGUGAUCGACCGAUAGUGAACAAGUACCGUGAGGAAAGGCGAAAAGAACCCCGGGAGGGGAGUGAAAUAGAUCCUGAAACCGCGUGCAUACAAACAGUGGGAGCCUCGCAAGGUGACUGCGUACCUUUGUAUAAUGGGUCAGCGACUUACGUUGUGUGGCGAGCUUAACCGAAUAGGGGAGGCGUAGCGAAAGCGAGUCUGAUAAGGGCGAAUCAGUCGCACGGCGUAGACCCGAAACCAGAUGAUCUAUCCAUGGCCAGGAUGAAGGUUGGGUAACACCAGCUGGAGGUCCGAACCCACUAAUGUUGAAAAAUUAGGGGAUGAGCUGUGGAUAGGGGUGAAAGGCUAAACAAAUCUGGAGAUAGCUGGUUCUCCCCGAAAACUAUUUAGGUAGUGCGUCGUACGGACACUUGCGGGGGUAGAGCACUGUAAUCGUUGAGGGGGUCAUUGCGAUCUACCUCGCGAUAGCAAACUCGAAUACCGCAAAGUGAUAUACGGCAGACAGACUGGGGGUGCUAACGUUCUAGGUCAAGAGGGAAACAACCCAGACCGCCAGUUAAGGUCCCAAAUGCAUGGCUAAGUGGAAAACGAAGUGGGAAGGCAUAGACAGCUAGGAGGUUGGCUUAGAAGCAGCCACCCUUUAAAGAAAGCGUAAUAGCUCACUAGUCGAGUCGUCCUGCGCGGAAGAUGUAACGGGGCUAGCCAUGAACCGAAACUGCGGAUGCGCAUUUAUGCGUGUGGUAGGGGAGCGUUCUGUAAGCCUGUGAAGGUGUUCCGGGAGGAAUGCUGGAGGUAUCAGAAGUGCGAAUGCUGACAUGAGUAGCGAUAAAGCGUGUGAAAAGCACGCUCGCCGAAAGCCAGGGUUUCCUACGCAACGUUCAUCGGCGUAGGGUGAGUCGGCCCCUAAGGCGAGGCAGAAAUGCGUAGUCGAUGGGAAACAGGUCAAUAUUCCUGUACCGAUUCUUGAUGCGAUGGGGGACGGAGAAGGUUAGCCAGCCGGGUGUUGGAAGUCCCGGUUCAAGCCCGUAGUCGUGCUGCAUAGGCAAAUCCGUGCGGCUUAGAUGAGAGAGGUGAUAACGAGCGAACUUGUUCGCGAAGUGGUUGAUACCAUGCUUCCAGGAAAAGCCUCUAAGCUUCAGUCAGAAUCGACCGUACCGCAAACCGACACAGGUGGGCAGGUUGAAAAUACCAAGGCGCUUGAGAGAACUCGGGAGAAGGAACUCCGCAAAUUGAUACCGUAACUUCGGGAGAAGGUAUGCCCCGGUAGCUUGUAGGAGUACAUCCGAAGGGCGAUGGGGCCGCAGAGAAUCGGUGGCUGCGACUGUUUAUUAAACACAGCACUCUGCAAACACGAAAGUGGACGUAUAGGUGUGACGCCUGCCCGGUGCCGGAAGGUUAAGUGAUGGUGUGCAAGUUCUCGAUCGAAGCCCCGGUAAACGGCGGCCGUAACUAUAACGGUCCUAAGGUAGCGAAAUUCCUUGUCGGGCAAGUUCCGACCCGCACGAAUGGCGUAACGAUGGCCACACUGUCUCCUCCGGAGACUCAGCGAAGUUGAAAUGUUUGUGAAGAUGCAAUCUCCCGCGGCUAGACGGAAAGACCCCAAGAACCUUUACUGUAGCUUUGCAUUGACUUUGACGGGACUUGUGUAGGAUAGGUGGGAGGCUUCGAAGCCGUGACGCUAGUUCUGGUGGAGCCAACCCGAAAUACCACCCUGGUCGUUGAGGCUCUAACCUUGGUCCGUGAAUCCGGAUCGGGGACCGUGGCAUGGUAGGUAGUUUGAUCAGCGGUCCUCUCCCAAAGAGUAACGGAGGAGUAGCCGAAGGUCUCUCUAGGUACGGUCGGACAU